Molecule: unclassified non-coding RNA, 323 nt
Filed under: soil metagenome
Description: partial contains 5.8S ribosomal RNA, internal transcribed spacer 2, and large subunit ribosomal RNA
Rfam family: 5.8S ribosomal RNA (bases 1-120)
Source: RNAcentral
GAUGAAGAACGUAGCGAAAUGCGAUAAGUAAUGCGAAUUGCAGAAUUCAGUGAGUCAUCGAAUCUUUGAACGCACAUUGCGCCCUGUGGUAUUCCGCAGGGCAUGCCUGUUCGAGCGUCAUUUCAACCCUCAAGCUCCGCUUGGUGUUGGGCCCUGCCCCCGCGGCCGGCCCCAAAGACAGUGGCGGCGCCGCUUGGCCCUAAGCGUAGUACAUCUCUCGCUCUAGGACCCGGCGGUGGCCUGCCAGAACCCCCAACUCAUGUGGUUGACCUCGGAUCAGGUAGGGAUACCCGCUGAACUUAAGCAUAUCAAUAAGCGGAGGA